UGAGGAUUAGGUGGGUUAAUAUUUGUAAAG
Molecule: non-coding RNA, 30 nt
Filed under: Homo sapiens (human)
Lineage: Eukaryota; Metazoa; Chordata; Mammalia; Primates; Hominidae
Source: RNAcentral